Molecule: ribosomal RNA, 633 nt
Filed under: uncultured bacterium
Lineage: Bacteria
Description: bacterial SSU rRNA
Rfam family: Bacterial small subunit ribosomal RNA
Source: RNAcentral
GAGUUUGAUCCUGGCUCAGGAUAAACGCUGGCGGCGCACAUAAGACAUGCAAGUCGAACGGACUUAAUCAAUUUGUUUACAAAUUGAAGCGGUUAGUGGCGGACUGGUGAGUAACACGUAAGCAACCUGCCUGUUAGAGGGGAAUAACAAUGAGAAAUCAUUGCUAAUACCGCAUAUGCCAUAAAUAUCACAUGAUAUUAGUGGGAAAGGAGCAAUCCGCUAACAGAUGGGCUUGCGUCUGAUUAGAUAGUUGGUGGGGUAACGGCCUACCAAGUCAACGAUCAGUAGCCGGACUGAGAGGUUGAACGGCCACAUUGGGACUGAGAUACGGCCCAGACUCCUACGGGAGGCAGCAGUCGGGAAUAUUGCGCAAUGGAGGAAACUCUGACGCAGUGACGCCGCGUAUAGGAAGAAGGUUUUCGGAUUGUAAACUUCUUUUCUCAGGGACGAAGCAAGUGACGGUACCUGAGGAAUAAGCCACGGCUAACUACGUGCCAGCGGCCGCGGUAAUACGUAGGUGGCAAGCGUUGUCCGGAUUUAUUGGGCGUAAAGCGAGUGCAGGCGGUUCAAUAAGUCUGAUGUGAAAGCCUUCGGCUCAACCGGAGAAUUGCAUCAAAAACUGUUGAACUUGAG